GACGAACGCUGGCGGCGUGCUUAACACAUGCAAGUCGAACGGUGAAGCUCCAGCUUGCUGGAGUGGAUCAGUGGCGAACGGGUGAGUAACACGUGAGCAACCUGCCCCAGACUCUGGAAUAAGCGCUGGAAACGGCGUCUAAUACUGGAUACGAGAUCAAGCCGCAAGGUUAUGGACUGGAAAGUUCUGCGGUUUGGGAUGGGCUCGCGGCCUCUCCGCUUGUUUGUGAGGUUAUGGCUCACCAAGGCGACGACGGGUAGCCGGCCUGAGAGGGCGACCGGCCACACUGGGACUGAGACACGGCCCAGACUCCUACGGGAGGCAGCAGUGGGGAAUAUUGCACAAUGGGCGAAAGCCUGAUGCAGCGACGCCGCGUGAGGGAUGACGGCCUUCGGGUUGUAAACCUCUUUCAGCAGGGAAGAAGCGAAAGUGACGGUACCUGCAGAAGAAGCACCGGCUAACUACGUG
Molecule: ribosomal RNA, 468 nt
Filed under: uncultured bacterium
Lineage: Bacteria
Description: partial 16S ribosomal RNA
Rfam family: Bacterial small subunit ribosomal RNA
Source: RNAcentral